GCUUACGGCCACACCACCCUGAACACGCCCGAUCUCGUCCGAUCUCGGAAGCUAAGCAGGGUCGGGCCUGGUUAGUACUUGGAUGGGAGACCGCCUGGAAUACCAGUGUGCUGUAAGUU
Molecule: ribosomal RNA, 119 nt
Filed under: Oryzias javanicus (javanese ricefish)
Lineage: Eukaryota; Metazoa; Chordata; Actinopteri; Beloniformes; Adrianichthyidae
Source: RNAcentral